AACAAGGAUUCCCCUAGUAACGGCGAGUGAAGCGGGAAGAGCUCAAAUUUGAAAUCUGGCAGCCUUUGGUUGUCCGAGUUGUAAUCUAUAGAAACGUUUUCCGCGUUGGCCCAUGUACAAGUCUGCUGGAAUGCAGCGUCAUAGAGGGUGAGAAUCCCGUCCUUGACAUGGACUACCAGUGCUUUGUGAUACGUUUUCAACGAGUCGAGUUGUUUGGGAAUGCAGCUCAAAAUGGGUGGUAAAUUCCAUCUAAAGCUAAAUAUUGGCGAGAGACCGAUAGCGAACAAGUACCGUGAGGGAAAGAUGAAAAGCACUUUGGAAAGAGAGUUAAACAGUAUGUGAAAUUGUUGAAAGGGAAACGAUUGAAGUCAGUCGUGGGUCUCGCAUUCAGCUGGUUCUGCCAGUGUACUUGCUUGACCCGGGGUCAACAUCGGUUUUGACCGUCGGAAAAGGUUGUGGGGAAUGUAGCACCCUCGGGUGAACUUAUAGCCCUGUAGCGUAUACGAUGGUUGGGACCGAGGAA
RNAcentral lists this ribosomal RNA (523 nucleotides) under Cryptococcus sp. UFMG-AFM137. RNAcentral's name for it is "eukaryotic LSU rRNA". It matches the Rfam family "Eukaryotic large subunit ribosomal RNA", at positions 67 to 594 of the family's 3401-position model. Lineage: Eukaryota; Fungi; Basidiomycota; Tremellomycetes; Tremellales; Cryptococcaceae. The record is from RNAcentral.